Molecule: long non-coding RNA, 2265 nt
Filed under: Bemisia tabaci
Lineage: Eukaryota; Metazoa; Arthropoda; Insecta; Hemiptera; Aleyrodidae
Description: lncRNA ENSSSA1NGG011526
Source: RNAcentral
AUGUUUUUCUUAAUUUCCCUAUUGAUUCUUGUUCUGAUGGUUGUUUUUAAUUUUUUACAGAUGGAACCUUUACGAGUUAUUAUCAGUGAUGAAAAUAUUAUUGGUGCAAGUUGGUAUCAACCAGACACUCAGUGUUUCAUGACAUGGGGAGAGAGCAUAGCAACUUUCUACAAUAUGAAGAAGGAGAAUUUUCGAUUGAAUUUUAAGCCGUUUCAAUCCAAAGUGGAUUCAACAUUGAUCUCAGCAGUCUGCUUCAAUCCACAAAUGCAAAAUCGGGCUGCCUUCGGAGCAGAAAGUGGCAAAACAGUUGUCUGGAAAAUCCCUGCAAGAGUCAAUCAGGAUGAGGAGGCUCCCUCAUAAGCCAAUAUCUUACCAUCUACUUGCACCUCUGAGAUUUUUGAAGAAACUCCGUCCAUUAAGUAUUCUUGAAUCUAGUCAUUUAUGUUCUAAGUAGUUCUGUAAAGUUGUAUACCAUUAUGCAGAAAUUAAUAAAUACCUUUUUCUUAUCAAACUUGCCAACCCACUUCAGUCCUUGUAGUACCAUCACAAGAACUGAACCAAUAAUUGCAAUUAAACGGCAUAAGUCCGCAAUCACAUAUCUUGUUAGUGGUGCCUGUAAAUCUCCGCCUCUUAUGUUAUUUUUUUGAAGGAGAACAAAUUGACAUCAUUCCUUGAAGUUUUUGCAGAAUUUUCUUACCACUCAGAAGAAAAAUCACAGCAAUUUUAAAGAAUUGCCGCUGAGUAGCUUCCCAUUCAAGAAGCAAAGUAUGACAGGAAGUCUGCGACAUCAAAAACCGAGUUAUGUGAAUUAUGUGAUUGCCAACUUACUCCGUCGAAUUUUAUUUCUGCCCAAUGACAUCAAGUUAGCUUUAUGACCUUUCACUAAUUGAAAGUACCCACAAAAGGUUUCCUAAAACGAUCAUUUAAAGAGUUUUUUUUCACAGUUAUUGCUGUGGUGGGUCUCGAAUUGAUAGGGUACCUCAACGAACAUCAUUUUGAAGGGGGGUGUUGACUGUUCUGCUCAAGGAAAUAUUGCUAUGUUGAUGAGGCUUUCAGAGAAAAUACCUAUAGACCCUCAGCUAGAAUACAUGGCAUCUUACUAUGUUCAUCCUCAUUUCUCACAAAAGACGGGAGUGUGUGCCCUGUUCUAAUUUCAAUUUUUGUAUUAAUUUAAACCCGUCUAUGGAUGCUGAUCAAAAGUCUUCAUCGCGCAAACUUCCUACAGGACACCAUUUUGGCACAAUCCGUACUUUAAGUUUCAAUAAUUACUUGAAUAAAUGAAGGCAGGGUUGCAACAAGGAAAACUCCAGCCAAUUAGUCGUAAGGAAGGUAGUUGGAGAGAGGAGAAAGGAACGCUUUGGAUGGUGAAACGAAAAAGCUUGCAGAGUCUGAGAUAAGACCACUGCUCAGCACUGUGGUAGUACAUUACUUAACACCCUGAGAUUUUCCUCUCCUUAAUUUUAGCCAGUGCUGCAAGAUAGGGAGAUCUUUUCAACUCAUAAUCGCUGCGCUGCUUUCAUUUACUCUGGUAUAAUUAUUGCAAUUUAAAAUGCGAAUUGUGCGAAAACAGUGCCCUUUAGGAAAUUGGGGCCAUAAUAGCUUUUUAUCAAUACGUAUCCACAGACAAGAUAAAAUCAAAAAAAAAUUGAACAGGGCACACAUUCCCAUUCUUAAGGAGAGCGAGGGGUCCUUUACAUUAAGGUUACCUAAUUACUAAUAUUUUGGCAGAAUAUUGUUCCUCUGCACGCGUAUAGUAAGAAUUCAAAAUGAAACGAAGCACGGUAGAAGGCCACCAACCUCCCUCACUUGCGCACUUUCUGAGCAGGGCAGCUCCUAUAAUGAGAUGAGAUGCUUGAGAAAGUAGAUGGGGGCAAAAUAAAAAGAAGUACCAAACAUUAAGCACAUAAAACACAAAAAGAGAGUAAUCCCACAUCGAACCUCUUCCGACGAACGAUUUCCUGAGUAUUAAGUAAUUGUAAGAAUGGUCCGAGUGGAAAAACUCUAUCCACAGUGCACAGCAGGAAGGCCUUGACCACGUAAAAUCAAUUUUGAAAUUAUGCAAGGAAACUAUCCAGCAGCUGUACCUCUACAAACAUGAUUGACUCUUUCCGAUGUUAAUAACUUACACCCUCAUCUUGUCUAAUGGUCCCUUCAUUGCUUUGUACUCUUUACAAUACAGCAAUCCUCUAAAUCUGAUUAAUUUAAUUAAAUCUGAUUGAAUUAAACGUCCUAAGCACCAUUAUAACGACGCCGAUUGGCAGUAAU